RNAcentral lists this long non-coding RNA (633 nucleotides) under Scleropages formosus (Asian bonytongue). RNAcentral's name for it is "lncRNA (ENSSFOG00015026823.1)". The record is from RNAcentral. Lineage: Eukaryota; Metazoa; Chordata; Actinopteri; Osteoglossiformes; Osteoglossidae.
GUCAUUGAGAACGGAGCAAGACAAUGUGCGGCAGCAUGUGAUGGAAACACAGACACUUGGGCAAGACCAUUGGGCCUCAGGUGGCGACCCUCAUAGACAAAUAAAAGUCUAUCUGUGGGCCAGGUGGAGCUACCUGCAAGCUGUAUUCUGGACAGCCUCCAUGAAUGAUGCAGUCCCCGUCGUCAGUGUGAGCAGAGUGCAGACUGGUUUCAAGCUGCACGCACCUCCUCACGUACAGCGCUGUUCGCAAGACCGCAGGACGUAUGACUUUGAUGAAGUCGACACCAAGACGAUGGCUCCUGGGCUCUCGUGACUCAGCACGAGCAUCCAGCUGAAACAAGGUGUGAAGCACCGGUGUACUUUUCCCUCAUUCUUCACAAGUGAAUGCGUGCGUGAUUCCUCAGAGAGCACUAGACAACUGGAAAACAUUUUCAUAAUCAUGACUCUCACCAGGCCUUCCUGCGCAGGGGAGAGGGUGCACAUAAACCAGGCCCCACCAGGGAAAUGUGACAGUGCUGUUCAGCAUCACCCCCUGUAGAGGUAUCCAUGUUGGUCGGCUGAGAAGGACAGGCGGAGCACGUCGUCCCACAUUACAAAGUUCCCCAAUAAAAAGACUCAGAUGAUCUGCGCCCA